AACCAUAGAAACCUGCGGAGUACCUGCGGAGGGAUCAUUAUAGUAUAUGGAAUCUCCAUUCUAUAAACCCACUCUGCGUAUCUUGUAACUGUUGCUUCCAUGGGACUUGGUUCCGCCACACCGGCUUCACGGCUGGUGAGCGCCCAUGGAAGGAGAAACAAAACUCUUCUUUGGAAUGUAGUCAGUCUGAACAAGUUUUUAUAAACGUUAAAACUUUUAGCAACGGAUCUCAGAUCGGAA
Molecule: unclassified non-coding RNA, 240 nt
Filed under: soil metagenome
Description: partial contains 5.8S ribosomal RNA, internal transcribed spacer 2, and large subunit ribosomal RNA
Source: RNAcentral